GCCAAUCUUGCCCAAGCCUUGACUCAUGCUGAGGAAGACUCUGGGUUCUACAGAGUCAAACCAGGCUUUUCCCAGCACUGGUGGUGCAUUGGGGGCUACCAUCAACAUCUCUCCUAGAGUGUCCAUCCUAGAGCCAUCACUCCUAUUUCCUUGCCCUGCCUGGUUGAGGCAGCCAGGUACUGCAAGUGCAGCACUGAGGUGUGUGAUGCCAAUGAAGGGGAACAGCUCCUGAUCCUCAGCUCUCCAAGCACAAAAAUGGCCAGAGAAAAUUACAGCAACUGCCCCAUCUGCUAGGACACUCCAAAAGAUGUGGCUUCUGCUCUGCCCUGUCACCACCAGUUCAGCCUGGGCUGCAUCCUGCGGUGGACACAAACGAAUCCAUCAUGCCCACUCUGCAGGACACUGACAAAGACUGUUAGGCUUUCUGAGCGGGACUAUCUGCUGUUUGCUGUCAUCUCCCCUGAAGAGUCACCAGAGACCAGCAGCCAUACAGGGGUAGCUUCCAUCCUCCUGGAUGAAAACAGCACCCAUGGCCCUCUGGUGUCCCCUUGUCCACAGGGAACAUUGUCUCCAGCUGAACAUGACACAGAACAUGACACUGAAAUGUGAGCACAUUUGAAAAUGUAGUCCCAGAUAUAACAGUGGUGCUGGAAUGAAGAGGUUACCUUUAAUAAAUUAACCUUUUAUACUCUUA
Molecule: long non-coding RNA, 694 nt
Organism: Vidua chalybeata
Lineage: Eukaryota; Metazoa; Chordata; Aves; Passeriformes; Viduidae
Exons: 2
Source: RefSeq, a predicted model, not a curated record